Long non-coding RNA from Varanus komodoensis (Komodo dragon), 1182 nucleotides. RefSeq lists it as uncharacterized. NCBI's taxonomy places the organism in Eukaryota, Metazoa, Chordata, Lepidosauria, Squamata, Varanidae. The transcript has 3 exons. The record is from RefSeq and is a predicted model, not a curated record.
CAUGGAGCGUGACUAUUUGAAAAGAUGGCUCUCCAUUCUGACUCAUGUUGGGAUCAUCUAUGGAUCGAGAUGCCCUGCUAUUCAAGCAAUCACCCCAGUGCAUAGAGGGGGAUGGAUGAGCAGAAGGAGACAGGGAGCUUUGGAUAACAACAUGUUCUGCUUUAAGCUCUUUUGGUUUACCUGAAGAAGAGGAGUGGUGCAUUUUGAAAGAUCCACUGUAUAGUCUGGCUGAUGAAAGCGUUAAAGGCUGGAUUUUUCAAAAAAUCCAGCAAGUUUCUUCCUGCUUGCACUCCUGCAUUAUUAGCACAUUGCUCAGUUGUUGUAAUUUCUCUGAGGCUCGUCUGAAAGUAAGAUGGAGAAUUUAGAUAUGAUACUUAUCGUUUGGAGGUUCUAUUGAAACCUUUCCUUCUGGAAUUAAAUUUCCCAUGAAACCACUCCAUCCAGAAAAAAAAAAGUGAGCUGUCUGAAAGCUGAAACUUCAAGCAAUUUGUUGCACAAACACAAGGCACACUUCUCUGGUGCUUAAAGUAAUUGUCCUGUCAUUUUGAUAUUUCAUGUAUAAUUCAAAAGCUUCCUUCUUUUAAAACUUGACACUUGUCACAUGGAGAGCAGUUGGCACACAGGAUGAUUUUCCAACAUUUCUGAUCAGAAAGCUGCAUUCCCCACCUGCCCCACCCCCUUUCCAUGAGAACUUUUCGCAUCACUGCUGCUCCCACAAGCUUCCUUGGUUUCCUCUUGAUAUUUCAAGACGAGUUGGAGUGAUGGAGUCGCAGCUGAAUGAGAGCCCUUCCGGGACUGUGAAUAUCUGAAAGUGUCUCUCCAUGGACCUGUGAUCUGUGGCUGGAGUGAGGAAACAUUCUUGCCCAUUUGUGGCAUGCAUCGUCCCACGGCAUGGAGGCUGGGACCUUGCUGCUUUUGAGAGACAGAUACUGCGUGUGUGUUGCAGCUGAAGAAAACAGGAUUUGAGAAGAUGGCUUCCAGUUGCUACCAUCGAUAUCGUAGGCAGUGGGAAAAGAUCAAAGACAUUGCAGAGUUCCAUUAAGGGUACUAGGAUGAGGCUGACAAAGUCUGGACGACAAAGAUCCCUGAGCAAAGGAUCGAACAUACAGGUACAUUCUGAAUGCAUGUUAUGGAGCCUUGUAAAACCUUUCCCAGGAAAAUACAGUUGUUCUAAGUUCCUUC